RNAcentral lists this ribosomal RNA (324 nucleotides) under uncultured bacterium. RNAcentral's name for it is "bacterial SSU rRNA". It matches the Rfam family "Bacterial small subunit ribosomal RNA", at positions 28 to 334 of the family's 1533-position model. The record is from RNAcentral.
GAUGAACGCUGGCGGCGUGCCUAACACAUGCAAGUCGAACGGAGCGUCUUUGAAGGAGACUUCGGUCAAUGGAUGAGAUUGCUUAGUGGCGGACGGGUGAGUAACGCGUGAGGAACCUGCCUUUCAGAGGGGGACAACAGUUGGAAACGACUGCUAAUACCGCAUGACGCAUAGGAGCCGCAUGGCUCUUAUGCCAAAGAUUUAUCGCUGAAAGAUGGCCUCGCGUCUGAUUAGCUAGUUGGUAAGGUAACGGCUUACCAAGGCAACGAUCAGUAGCCGACCUGAGAGGGUGACCGGCCACAUUGGGACUGAGACACGGCCCAA